AACGUAGGAGACAAACGUUAUCCGGAGUUACUGGGCGUAAAGGGCGUGUAGGCGGUUGUGUAAGUCUGGCGUGAAAUUUUUCGGCUUAACCGGGAAAGGUCGUCGGAUACUGCAAAACUAGAGGACGGUAGAGGCGUGUGGAAUUCCGGGUGUAGUGGUGAAAUGCGUAGAGAUCCGGAGGAACACCAGUGGCGAAGGCGACACGCUGGGCCGUACCUGACACUGAUGCGCGACAGCAUGGGGAGCGAACAGG
RNAcentral lists this ribosomal RNA (253 nucleotides) under uncultured bacterium. RNAcentral describes it as "partial 16S ribosomal RNA". It matches the Rfam family "Bacterial small subunit ribosomal RNA", at positions 524 to 776 of the family's 1533-position model. The record is from RNAcentral.